GAUCAGGCUCUCGCAGCGCUCAAGGCGCAC
Molecule: small RNA, 30 nt
Filed under: Bombyx mori (domestic silkworm)
Lineage: Eukaryota; Metazoa; Arthropoda; Insecta; Lepidoptera; Bombycidae
Description: ovarian small RNA-2717
Source: RNAcentral